Molecule: long non-coding RNA, 836 nt
Organism: Talpa occidentalis (Iberian mole)
Lineage: Eukaryota; Metazoa; Chordata; Mammalia; Eulipotyphla; Talpidae
Exons: 3
Source: RefSeq, a predicted model, not a curated record
CAACCGCCCCUGCGCUCGCUUACUGGACAAAAGGGGCCGUUGGUGUUUUCAACGGUCCCCGGGGCACUGUCCCCCCAGGUGCACCAAAGAAUUAUGUAGCAUCCAAAAGGGGACAUCAAAACAGAAACAGAAUGUGUAUACUGUGCUCCAUUAUGCCCAGACAUUUACUCUUCAAACAACACAGAUUAUGUGUGUGAAAUGAGAUCAUUUCUGGCUUGGGAGCACGCAGCCUCGACCUGGAGACAUAUGCUCAUUCAAAGACUGACUGACUGUGAGGCCACACAGUGGAAAUGCAAGGUGCUCUGGGAUAUUCUUUUUAUAAAUAUAUAAUCAUUUGUAAACUUUCUCUUCUUAAGAUCAAAUCAUUCCAAUUCCUGUUUCUCAAUACUUUGUUUACUGUCCUCCUCCGAAUCCUCAGGUUUCAAUAUUUAUCUUAGAUUAUUCAACUUGAAACUGCACCAGCAUUAUAAAAGCCCAAAAGACUGGAUUUUGGGAGAAAGGCCUUACUUCCCUUGAUUUUCAAACAUUUUUUUCACUUCUGGAAAUAUUUUACAAAUCUUUAUAAUUUCAUGCAGAUUUGUUAAAUAUUUAGUCACAGGAUAUAGCUUAUUCCACACCUGUAUAAUGAAAUAGUCAUUAAAAUAUUUCAGAAAUAAAAAUCAUAAAAGAACAUAAGCACUGAGGAGAAAAAUAGGUACACAAUGAGGUUUAUUCCUAUUCUAAGAAUUUGUGUGUGUGUGGUGUGUGUGUGCUCAAAAAUGUCUCUCAAUCCCCAAGUGAGGGAAUAUGGUUGUUUUGUUAUUCAUUUUGCUUCUAGUCAUUGAUUUUGUAACAAA